RNAcentral lists this ribosomal RNA (494 nucleotides) under uncultured bacterium. RNAcentral's name for it is "partial 16S ribosomal RNA". It matches the Rfam family "Bacterial small subunit ribosomal RNA", at positions 28 to 507 of the family's 1533-position model. The record is from RNAcentral.
GACGAACGCUGGCGGCGCGCUUAACACAUGCAAGUCGAACGGAAAGGCCUGCUUUCCCUUGUGGAUUGCGGGUACUCGAGUGGCGAACGGGUGAGUAACACGUGAGUGAUCUGCCCCCAACUUGGGUAUAAGCCUGGGAAACUGAGUCUAAUUCCCGAUAGGACUGCAGGGUGGUGCCUGUGGUGGAAAACGAUUUUCUAGUGGUUGGGGAUGAGCUCGCGGCCUAUCAGCUUGUUGGUGGGGUAAUGGCCUACCAAGGCGGCGACGGGUAGCCGGCCUGAGAGGGUGGACGGCCACAUUGGGACUGAGAUACGGCCCAGACUCCUACGGGAGGCAGCAGUGGGGAAUAUUGCACAAUGGGCGGAAGCCUGAUGCAGCGACGCCGCGUGGGGGAUGACGGCCUUCGGGUUGUAAACUCCUUUCGACCGCGAGGAAGCCACCUGGUUGGAAGGGUGGUGACGGUAGUGGUAGAAGAAGCACCGGCUAACUACGUG